UACGUAGGGUGCAAGCGUUGUCCGGAAUCAUUGGGCGUAAAGAGCGUGUAGGUGGCUCGGUAAGUCCGCUGUGAAAGUCCAGGGCUCAACCCUGGAAAGCCGGUGGAAACUGUCGAGCUAGAGUCCGGAAGAGGCGAGUGGAAUUCCUGGUGUAGCGGUGAAAUGCGCAGAUAUCAGGAGGAACACCAAUGGCGAAGGCAGCUCGCUGGGACGGUACUGACACUGAGACGCGAAAGCGUGGGGAGCAAACAGG
RNAcentral lists this ribosomal RNA (253 nucleotides) under uncultured bacterium. RNAcentral describes it as "partial 16S ribosomal RNA". It matches the Rfam family "Bacterial small subunit ribosomal RNA", at positions 524 to 776 of the family's 1533-position model. The record is from RNAcentral.